This 465-nucleotide ribosomal RNA is filed under the name uncultured bacterium. Its description in RNAcentral is "partial 16S ribosomal RNA". It matches the Rfam family "Bacterial small subunit ribosomal RNA", at positions 338 to 795 of the family's 1533-position model. The record is from RNAcentral.
CCUACGGGAGGCAGCAGUAGGGAAUCUUCCACAAUGGGCGAAAGCCUGAUGGAGCAACGCCGCGUGGGUGAAGAAGGUCUUCUGAUCGUAAAACCCUGUUGUUAGAGAAGAAAGUGCGUGCGAGUAACUGUUCACGUUUAGACGGUAUCUAACCAGAAAGCCACGCCUAACUACGUGCCAGCAGCCGCGGUAAUACGUAGGUGGCAAGCGUUAUCCGGAUUUAUUUGGAGUAAAGGGAACGCAGGCGGUCUGUUAAGUCUGGUGUGAAAGGCGUCGGCUUAACCGGAGUAGUGCAUUGGAAACUGGGAGACUGGAGUGCAGAAGAGGAGAGUGGAACUCGAGGUGUAGCGGUGAAAUGCGUAGAUAUAUGGAAGAACACCGGUGGCGAAAGCAGCUCUCUGGUCUGUAACUGACGCUGAGGUUCGAAAGCGUGGGUAGCAAACAGGAUUAGAUACCCUUGUAGUC